Small nucleolar RNA from Erigeron canadensis, 135 nucleotides. RefSeq annotates it as small nucleolar RNA snoR111. NCBI's taxonomy places the organism in Eukaryota, Viridiplantae, Streptophyta, Magnoliopsida, Asterales, Asteraceae. The record is from RefSeq and is a predicted model, not a curated record. The transcript has a single exon.
UAAAUAUAUUGAGAGACACAUAUAUGAAAGUUGUCUUGUCAUAUAGAUAACAGAAGGAUAAAAUAAAGAUGGCAAGAUAUAUCGUUUCAGUCGUUAUUUUUUUCCAUUGACGAUCUGAUUGUUACUUGUCCACAU